GAUGAAGAACGUAGCGAAAUGCGAUAAGUAAUGUGAAUUGCAGAAUUCAGUGAAUCAUCGAAUCUUUGAACGCACAUUGCGCCCGCCAGUAUUCUGGCGGGCAUGCCUGUUCGAGCGUCAUUACAACCCUCAGGCCCCCGGGCCUGGCGUUGGGGAUCGGCGGAAGCCCCCUGCGGGCACAACGCCGUCCCCCAAAUACAGUGGCGGUCCCGCCGCAGCUUCCAUUGCGUAGUAGCUAACACCUCGCAACUGGAGAGCGGCGCGGCCACGCCGUAAAACACCCAACUUCUGAAUGUUGACCUCGAAUCAGGUAGGAAUACCCGCUGAACUUAAGCAUAUCAAUAAGCCGGAGGA
Molecule: unclassified non-coding RNA, 354 nt
Filed under: soil metagenome
Description: partial contains 5.8S ribosomal RNA, internal transcribed spacer 2, and large subunit ribosomal RNA
Rfam family: 5.8S ribosomal RNA (bases 1-120)
Source: RNAcentral